UGUAUUGGCCGGGAAUCGAACCCGGGGCGCCCGCGUGGCAGGCGAGCAUUCUAUCACUGAACCAAAAGCAAAC
Molecule: non-coding RNA, 73 nt
Organism: Cordylochernes scorpioides
Lineage: Eukaryota; Metazoa; Arthropoda; Arachnida; Pseudoscorpiones; Chernetidae
Source: the annotation of a GenBank genome assembly